This 497-nucleotide ribosomal RNA is filed under the name uncultured bacterium. RNAcentral's name for it is "partial 16S ribosomal RNA". It matches the Rfam family "Bacterial small subunit ribosomal RNA", at positions 28 to 507 of the family's 1533-position model. The record is from RNAcentral.
GAUGAACGCUGGCGGCGUGCCUAAUACAUGCAAGUCGAGCGAACGGACGAGAAGCUUGCUUCUCUGAUGUUAGCGGCGGACGGGUGAGUAACACGUGGAUAACCUACCUAUAAGACUGGGAUAACUUCGGGAAACCGGAGCUAAUACCGGAUAAUAUUUUGAACCGCAUGGUUCAAAAGUGAAAGACGGUCUUGCUGUCUCUUAUAGAUGGAUCCGCGCUGCAUUAGCUAGUUGGUAAGGUAACGGCUUACCAAGGCAACGAUGCAUAGCCGACCUGAGAGGGUGAUCGGCCACCCUGGAACUGAGACACGGUCCAGACUCCUACGGGAGGCAGCAGUAGGGAAUCUUCCGCAAUGGGCGAAAGCCUGACGGAGCAACGCCGAGUGAGUGAUGAAGGUCUUCGGAUCGUAAAACUCUGUUAUUAGGGAAGAACAUAUGUGUAAGUAACUGUGCACAUCUUGACGGUACCUAAUCAGAAAGCCACGGCUAACUACGUG